Molecule: ribosomal RNA, 1129 nt
Filed under: Eudiaptomus environmental sample
Lineage: Eukaryota; Metazoa; Arthropoda; Copepoda; Calanoida; Diaptomidae
Description: bacterial SSU rRNA
Rfam family: Eukaryotic small subunit ribosomal RNA
Source: RNAcentral
GCUCGUAGUUGGAUCUCGGCGGACAGAAGUCGGUCCGAAUGCUUUCGGUACUGGCUUGUUUGUCCGUGUGUUUUGCCAGAGGCAGGCGGGUGCUCUUCGCCGAGUGUCCGUCUGUGCUGGCAGGUUUACUUUGAAAAAAUUAGAGUGCUCAAAGCAAGCUCUCACGCUUGAAUAUUCGUGCAUGGAAUAAUAGAAUAGGAUGUCGUUUCUAUUUUGUUGGUUUUCGGAAAUCGACAUAAUGAUUAAUAGGGACAGUCGGGGGCAUUUGUAUUCAAACGACAGAGGUGAAAUUCUUGGACCGUUUGAAGACAAACUACUGCGAAAGCAUUUGCCAAGAAUGUUUUCAUUAAUCAAGAACGAAAGUUAGAGGUUCGAAGGCGAUUAGAUACCGCCCUAGUUCUAACCAUAAACGAUGCCAGCUAGCGAUCUGCAGGCGUUUUACUUUACGACCUUGCAGGGAGCUUCCGGGAAACCAAAGCUUGUGGGUUCCAGGGGAAGUAUGGUUGCAAAGCUGAAACUUAAAGGAAUUGACGGAAGGGCACCACCAGGAGUGGAGCCUGUGGCUUAAUUUGACUCAACACGGGAAAUCUCACCAGGCCCGGACACGAGAAGGAUUGACAGAUUGAUAGCUCUUUCUUGAUUUCGUGGGUGGUGGUGCAUGGCCGUUCUUAGUUGGUGGAGUGAUUUGUCUGGUUAAUUCCGAUAACGAACGAGACUCUGUCCUGCUAACUAGUGUCUGCUUCUUUUCUGAGCAGAUUAUUCUUCUUAGAGGGACUGGUAGCUCUUAGCUACACGAGAUUGAGCAAUAACAGGUCUGUGAUGCUCUUAGAUGUUCUGGGCCGCACACGCGCUACACUGAAUGGAUCAGCUAGUUAUUCUCUCUCCGAGAGGAGCGGGUAAACUGUUGAACCCCAUUCGUGGGUAGGGAUCGGAGCUUGCAAUUUGUUCUUCCGUGAACCAGGAAAUUCCCAGUAGGCGCAAGGUCAUAAGGCUUGCGUCGAUUAACGUCCCUUGCUCUUUUGUACACAACGCCCGGUCGCUACUAACGAAUUGGAGCCGUUUAAUUGAAGGUCCUCGAAACUGCUUGGUCUGGCGUUCAUCCCUGACCUCGCUAGGUGAGGACCUACUU